CGCACACUACAUGAGAAGGUACAAAAGUAUGAAUCAUCAUACCCCGGGCCUGGAUGGAUUGAGGAAAAUGCCAAAUCAAUGCCAUGGGGAGAGGUAUAUUUUAGAUCAUGCUGGAAAAAUGCACAGAAUAAUAGCCCGUGUCCUGGAGAUGGUAUUGUCGACCCUUCUCAAGACAUACAAAAUGGUUCUCUUUCCCCUGGAUUUAUACUUCCGAG
RNAcentral lists this unclassified non-coding RNA (215 nucleotides) under Hevea brasiliensis (rubber tree). Lineage: Eukaryota; Viridiplantae; Streptophyta; Magnoliopsida; Malpighiales; Euphorbiaceae. The record is from RNAcentral.